UAGAAGGUACUCCUUCUUUCGCAGGCAGCUUGGGACUGGAAGAAGGACCUUCGAAAUUUGGCCUCAGAGAACACCAAUAGGCAGCUUGGGACUGGAAGAAGGACACUCGAAAUUUGGCCUCAGAGAACACCAAUAGGCAGCUUGGGACUGGAAGAAGGACCUUCGAAAUUUGGCCUCAGAGAACACAAAUAGAAAUGGAAAUAUAGACGCAGAAAAUAUUUUGCGUGGAGAUGAAGGGAAAGAAUGACAUUGGGUGCACAUAGAGUCACAGAGUGCACAGAGUGAAACUACAGGUUUGUGGAAUAAAGGACGAGAUGGGGAGGGAGUUACAAUGCUUUCUCCUUUACCUUUUUCCUUCGAUUCUAUUGGUUUUUCAGUUGUUUAGAAGCGUGUGUGUGUGCCUAUGUCGGAGUCUGUGAAUAAA
Molecule: long non-coding RNA, 424 nt
Organism: Ornithodoros turicata
Lineage: Eukaryota; Metazoa; Arthropoda; Arachnida; Ixodida; Argasidae
Exons: 4
Source: RefSeq, a predicted model, not a curated record